GGCCUGCUUUGGGUCGGGGUUUGGGCUCAACCCGAAAUCAUUUGGACUGGGUUCGGGUCAAAAAAUAAGGCCUGUUUUAUUUUCGAACCGGGCUCGGGCAGACUUUUGGCCCGGUCCAGGCCCAAGCUCGAAUUUGGGCCCGAUCAAAGUCUGAUCAAAGUAGCCCACAUGCUCUUAGAUUUGUCCUGCUCCUACUUGAUCGUCAAAGCAGCCCAUUGGCCGUUCCCA
Molecule: long non-coding RNA, 228 nt
Filed under: Elaeis guineensis (African oil palm)
Lineage: Eukaryota; Viridiplantae; Streptophyta; Magnoliopsida; Arecales; Arecaceae
Description: long non-coding RNA (EGUI_LNC026942)
Source: RNAcentral